UCCGGAGAUCUUCUUUCCCUUCUUUCUCUUAUUUAUACCACCUUUAGGGUUCAGCCUCCUUUUAGAACCUUUUUUGCUUGCCUUCUUCUUGGAGAUCCCAUCCACAAGAAGAAGAGGAGCCUUAUCCUUCUUAAUAUGGCUUUCUGUUGUCUUGAGCAUAUUUAACAGCUCAGGCAAGGAAGAAUUCAGUUUAUUCAUGUGAUAGUUCACGACAAACUGAGAAAAUGAUUUUGAAAGUGAUUGCAGAAUUAGAUCCUGACUCAACUCCCCAUCCAUAACAAAACCUAAUUGACCUAAUCGAGUGAUCAAGUCAAUAACCAUCAAAACAUGGUUAUGUACGGAUGACCC
RNAcentral lists this long non-coding RNA (348 nucleotides) under Elaeis guineensis (African oil palm). RNAcentral's name for it is "long non-coding RNA (EGUI_LNC073415)". The record is from RNAcentral. Lineage: Eukaryota; Viridiplantae; Streptophyta; Magnoliopsida; Arecales; Arecaceae.